RNAcentral lists this transfer RNA (72 nucleotides) under Pachysolen tannophilus NRRL Y-2460. It matches the Rfam family "tRNA". Rfam says of the family: Transfer RNA (tRNA) molecules are approximately 80 nucleotides in length. Their secondary structure includes four short double-helical elements and three loops (D, anti-codon, and T loops). Lineage: Eukaryota; Fungi; Ascomycota; Pichiomycetes; Alaninales; Pachysolenaceae. The record is from Rfam by way of RNAcentral.
GCGGAUUUAAGUUAAUUGGUAGACAAUUUCUUUUCCACAGAAAAAGUGUUUGUUCAAGUCAAACAAUCCGUA